UAGGGGAAAUGUAACUCUCCCUUAAUUUUAGAUCCUCUUUUUAUCUUGCUUCAGGCAUAGGCUCCAAGAGACGGGCAUAUAACAUAAAUGCUGAAUUUACUUCUCCAAAUACGCAAAGAAUAUGGCUAUGUGCAAUAAACAUCACUAAGAGCAUGGCUGAAGACAACGAGAAAAAUCGAUCAUAAAGUAUUACUGGAAACCCAGAGUCGGCUGAUUGAGAGGCAUUUGAAGAGGUCUGUCCAAAUAACUACCUUCCUGACACGAGGGCCCCGAGAAGCCAAGAGGAGCUGUUCAAGAGGAGCAGUGGAGACUGCACGCAGGAUGAAAUCCAGAAACUGAUCGAACUCAGCCUUGUCACGUUGAGGAAAAGUGAAUUUCUAACAUCCAGGACGUGCCUGUCGACUUUCAGCGAAUUGCAUCCAAUCACCCCCAGGGAAUUCAGCUAAUGUCUCAGUCUAAACCGGGAUGAGGGGAGAAAAACAAAUCAAACAUUGUCCGGAGUCACGCUUAUUAUGAAAAUGUUUUAAAGGAUAGAGAAGGGAAAUAAUUCAAGACAACCCAGAAUAAAGUUUUAGAC
RNAcentral lists this long non-coding RNA (577 nucleotides) under Athene cunicularia (burrowing owl). RNAcentral's name for it is "lncRNA (ENSACUG00000006820.1)". Lineage: Eukaryota; Metazoa; Chordata; Aves; Strigiformes; Strigidae. The record is from RNAcentral.